RNAcentral lists this ribosomal RNA (233 nucleotides) under uncultured bacterium. RNAcentral's name for it is "partial 16S ribosomal RNA". It matches the Rfam family "Bacterial small subunit ribosomal RNA", at positions 66 to 291 of the family's 1533-position model. The record is from RNAcentral.
GCGGCAGCGCGGGANUCAGGCAACUGAGCCCUGGCGGCGAGCGGCGAACGGGUGAGUAAUACAUCGGAACGUACCCAGUUGUGGGGGAUAGCCCGGCGAAAGCCGGAUUAAUACCGCAUACGACCUGAGGGUGAAAGUGGGGGACCGCAAGGCCUCACGCAAUUGGAGCGGCCGAUGGCGGAUUAGCUAGUUGGUGGGGUAAAGGCCUACCAAGGCGACGAUCCGUAGCUGGU